CCUACGGGGGGCUGCAGUGGGGAAUAUUGGACAAUGGGGGGAACCCUGAUCCAGCCAUGCCGCGUGUGUGAAGAAGGCCCUCGGGUUGUAAAGCACUUUCAGUGAGGAAGAACGCCUGGUGGUUAAUACCCAUCAGGAAAGACAUCACUCACAGAAGAAGCACCGGCUAACUCCGUGCCAGCAGCCGCGGUAAUACGGAGGGUGCGAGCGUGAAUCGGAAUUACUGGGCGUAAAGCGCGCGUAGGUGGCUUGAUAAGCCGGUUGUGAAAGCCCCGGGCUCAACCUGGGAACGGCAUCCGGAACUGUCAAGCUAGAGUGCAGGAGAGGAAGGUAGAAUUCCCGGUGUAGCGGUGAAAUGCGUAGAGAUCGGGAGGAAUACCAGUGGCGAAGGUGGCCUUCUGGACUGACACUGACACUGAGGUGCGAAAGCGUGGGUAGCAAACAGGAUUAGAUACCCUAGUAGUC
RNAcentral lists this ribosomal RNA (465 nucleotides) under Vreelandella stevensii. RNAcentral describes it as "partial 16S ribosomal RNA". It matches the Rfam family "Bacterial small subunit ribosomal RNA", at positions 338 to 795 of the family's 1533-position model. Lineage: Bacteria; Pseudomonadati; Pseudomonadota; Gammaproteobacteria; Oceanospirillales; Halomonadaceae. The record is from RNAcentral.